CAGGAAGAGCUCUGGGUACUUCAAGGUGCCAACAGUGUGGGACUCCUGACAGCCAGGUGAAGAUCCCUCUGCAUAAUAUGGAAGAUGAACUGAAGGUGAACCAUGAUGGCAGCAGUAAAGAGGAAAAAGAAAGAAAAAGACAGUAGACACCUUGAAGUUCAUGAGCUCCUGCUCUGUGAUUAAGUGAGAGCAGAAUGAGGAAGGGGCCUUAAAAAAUGAAGCUUCAGGAAAACUAUUGCCAGAGACAACAGGCAACCACAAGUUGUAUCAUCCUUAUUUUCCUGAUAAACAGGAGUUCUGAAUGUUUGCAAGCCAAUAAAACAUUUUGAAACCUUUCAGAUUAGUAUGCUUUAAGGUUUUGGAUGAAUGCCAUUCAGAAAGUGUUUCCUUUUUGAAAGUAUCAUUAUAAUAAUUAAUGUUUUGUAUUUG
This is a long non-coding RNA of Heterocephalus glaber (naked mole-rat), 429 nucleotides long. NCBI's taxonomy places the organism in Eukaryota, Metazoa, Chordata, Mammalia, Rodentia, Bathyergidae. The record is from Ensembl.